RNAcentral lists this long non-coding RNA (676 nucleotides) under Phoenix dactylifera (date palm). RNAcentral's name for it is "long non-coding RNA (PDAC_LNC019590)". Lineage: Eukaryota; Viridiplantae; Streptophyta; Magnoliopsida; Arecales; Arecaceae. The record is from RNAcentral.
UUUACCAUCUAUCUGCAUGGCAAGUACCAUUCCUCUAGAAAACUUUUAUGAAGGCUGAAAACAUCACAACUGCUCCUCUUUAUUUUUAGUCUCCACAGAUGGAGACGUUUCUGAGUAGGGAUAAGUGAGGUUCAUGAGGCAUUAAGUGGCAAUCAUUUCCAUGCUUGUGUACAUUUGGCGCCAUUCAUAUAAUGAUCUUUAGAAAAGAAUAACAAUAAGCUGAUACUGUUUUUAUGCCAAAUGUGAUUUCCUACAUUUGCUGAUAUUUUUAUAAGAAAAAAUUAAAAAAUAUAAAUUCUUCUUGCUUUCUAAUGGAAAGACAACUCGAACAUUAUGUUUUAAAAGUGUCUCUGUAUAUCCUUGUAUGUGUUUGACAUGCUUCAUAUAUCAAGCUCGUCCAGGCACAAGAUGUUUCACAACUAUGCCUUAUUUUUGCUGUGUUACAUACUUUGGCAACUAAAAUUGCACUUCAAAAAAUGGUCAACUUUAACUGCAGUGUCCAUGACCUGGGAAAAUAAUCAGCACUAAAAAAAAUUAAAUAACCUGAUAUAGGUGAAGUGAGAUGAGUAAUGAGUUGAAACAAAAUCCAAGGUAAGCAUGUCGAAGUCAAGUUUAUAACCAAAACCACUAACUAGUUAGACAUUACAAACUUCUGAAGUGCAAAAACUCACCUAGG